ACUGAUGUAUUCAAUGAGUCAUAGCCUUGACCGACACGCCCAGAUAAUUUUUGAAAUUUCAUCGUGAUGGGGAUAGAUCAUUGCAAUUGUUGGUCUUCAAC
Molecule: ribosomal RNA, 101 nt
Filed under: Lupinus angustifolius (narrow-leaved blue lupine)
Lineage: Eukaryota; Viridiplantae; Streptophyta; Magnoliopsida; Fabales; Fabaceae
Description: rRNA SSU_rRNA_eukarya
Source: RNAcentral